UACGGAGGGAGCUAGCGUUAUUCGGAAUUACUGGGCGUAAAGCGCACGUAGGCGGCUUUGUAAGUAAGAGGUGAAAGCCCAGAGCUCAACUCCAGAACUGCCUUUAAGACUGCAUCGCUUGAAUCCAGGAGAGGUGAGUGGAAUUCCGAGUGUAGAGGUGAAAUUCGUAGAUAUUCGGAAGAACACCAGUGGCGAAGGCGGCUCACUGGACUGGUAUUGACGCUGAGGUACGAAAGCGUGGGGAGCAAACAGG
Molecule: ribosomal RNA, 253 nt
Filed under: uncultured bacterium
Lineage: Bacteria
Description: partial 16S ribosomal RNA
Rfam family: Bacterial small subunit ribosomal RNA
Source: RNAcentral